Molecule: long non-coding RNA, 3230 nt
Organism: Lolium perenne
Lineage: Eukaryota; Viridiplantae; Streptophyta; Magnoliopsida; Poales; Poaceae
Source: RefSeq, a predicted model, not a curated record
UUUGCUAGUAGCGGCAAAAAUCAAAUCGCGCGUUCCGGACCACCCCCUCUGCUCCUUCUCCCUUUUUCCGCCUUCGAUACGGUGUAGCGGCCGAGAUGGGGUUCGUGCCCUCCGCCGGGAGGGUCCUCCUGCCGCCUUCCUCCUCUCCGCCUGCCAAGAGUACGUCGUACUACGCUCCCUCUGUCCCUGACCUCACUACCUCCUCCCUCCUCAGACCUUGCUCCGCACUGUCGCUAGUUGCGUUUGGAUCUGGGUACGUGGUCUUGUGUGCAAUUGGGUAGUAACCUAUUUUGGGUACCCAAAAUUGAUUAACUGUGGUUGCUGAUAAAAAUUCGACUUCUGCUCGCGGCACCAUUAUUUGAUGAUUUAGUUUCUUUUCUACGGAAGUGAUUUAGUGUCGUGACUUGUGAAUUACCGUCUGAUGCCUCUGAACUGUGCAAGUUAGAUAGAAGAACGAAACCAAGUAGUAGGAUUUCUACUGAAUAUUUAGGCGUGUGAACGUAUUUGGAACUGGAUACGCACGCUGUUUCUAGAAAUCUCUUGUUUACUCCAGCUGAUUGCAGCUAUCCUUGUUCAUGAUGCUAUAGGAUCAGAAAUGCAUAUAAAUUGUAAAAUGUCUUACAUGUAAAUAAAACUAGAGAAUUCUAAGAAGUUAUACAUUCGUAAUUUGAUGGAGUAUAAUUUUCCUUGCAUACCAACUCCUCCGACAUUGAUUCUAGCCACUUCGCCACCUGAUGCUGCCCUUUUGUACCUCCACAAAGUGGUGAGUCGGCCUCCAAGGAAGCCAUUUGGUUGCCGCUAUUAGGCCGGCUAUGACUACGUAGCCCCAGUUAUGAGAUUAGUUCAGCCUGCUAACUAGCUGUGGUCCGAUCGUCAACUUACUCAGCUGUCAGUCUAGUUUCUCGAACACUGGCAUAGGCUAUAACCGAGAAAAUGCAAGCCUAAGCUCCCACUCACUGCAACUACUCACUUGUUCACCUUGGUUUGAUUUUAAAAAAAAAAUGUUGUUUGUAAUUUGUUUGGGUUAUUUAUUUUAGAAUUUUCCGACUCCUUACAUUUUUUGGUCCUUAUCCCAUCACUUACAUGUUUAUGUAGAUGUAUGUAUUGGAGAACUGAAAUACUCCCAUUGGUUCAAAACAGAGGUCGUUUCAGCAUUACCCACUUGCUACUUGUAUCAAAGUCCAACUCAUUUUACAAGUUCUAUGAACUUUCACAUCUUGUGAUUCUGUUUACUAAACUUAGUUCCAUCAAUCAAUGGUUAUCCUUUUGUGGUGUUUCACAAUCAGUGCUGCUGAGGUUUGUUUUAUUUUGUUAUAUCCUGUUCUCAAGCACAGGGAUGCAUGUGAUAUAUACCAAGAACUAAGUGGAGGAAACCUUCUUGAAUGUGUGAUAGCCGUUUUGCUAAAAAGAAAGAAAUUAGCUAUAGUUCUACUUUCCCAACUAAAGCAACAUAAUCCUCUACUGCUCUAGUGGUGUCUUUAGUUUCUCUGCCGGGUUCUUUCUAUGGUUGUUUUUAUGUGUAUCUGUAUCGUAUGCUGACACAAACUAUGCAUUCUUUGGGUUCUAGCCAUGCAUUAUAUUGUACUACUAGUGGAGUAGUUGUUGUCUGUGAGAUUUUUAGUUUCAAGUAUGAUUAGUUUUGUAUCAUAAAAAAUACCUCAACAUUAAUUAUCUGAUAGAACAGUAUAGGAUUACAUAUCAAUAUGUUUGAUACAAAUCAUUUAUUAAUUUUAAGGUGAACAAACAUAAUAAGCAUCAUAGUUCAUGCAAAGUGAAGAUUUGUGCAUGGGUGGCCAAGGUGUCAGCCGAUUGGCUAUUAGUGGCCCAUGGGCCCUAAUUGUUAAGCUCCAGUAGUCCACCCUAUUCGCUGGGAGCCCCAUAUCAUACCUGUUUAGAGCCCAGUUGAGUGUAUUCAUCAGGGCCGGCACUCCACCAAACUUUAUUCCCUCAUCGCCAAGUCGGGGAUGUUCCAUACAGUUUAGAUAGUCUACUCGCGUUCAGGUAUACCGGGUAGGACAAGGCAGAGACUGGUUGCAGCAACCAAGUUUGUUUUUGGCAGAACUGGAGAUCACACAGUGUCGAAUAUGUAUCGCGAUCCUAUUGAUUCUGCAACACAUCGAGUAAUCCUAGUCUGACUGAAGGGCGGGGAUCGUGGGAGAAUGGAGGGCAUCGCUUCUUUGUAUGAUCCCACUUGCCAGACCUGAGAGUAGGUGAAAUGCCAACGACCAACUAAGAUCUUCAGAAGUCGGAAGGCUUAACCAAUACCACAUUAAGUUCACAGAGAUACGAUAAAGAACUAAUUGAAUGGAAAAUUGUAAAUAUAAAUAUUACAUACUUCUUUCUGGCGGUUGCUAGAACACAUGAACAACUCAUUUGAGCUCCGGAAUUAAGUUUGGAUGGAAGACUGAAAGUUAGUACAAUAAGGGCUUAUUGCUUUGACUUGUCUUAUAUAACUGGAUUGAGGUUAUGCCAGGUGAGUCUGCUUAACUGGAUAGUUCUACUAUAUUAUUAUACUAUUACAUAUUAGGGUUCAUCUUUGUCUCUGUGAGACUACAACUAUGCUACAAUUUAUAGUCUAGAAAAUCAUAUUAUGGCAAUAAAAUACAUUUUCAGGGAUGCUUCUUUUACUCGCAUCUGCAGUCUGUUUACCUCGCUGUUGUUACCCGUAUCGUUAAUGAUUUCUAUAUAUAUGAAAGUGCUGAAUUUGUGCAGCUCUUCAUCAACUUCAGACAGAAUUCCAUUCCCACAAGGCAGACGAUCAGGAAGAAGGCUUCCAAGUGGAAGACAAACUAAGGUUCUGAAUGUCUACAGCCACAUAUUUUUGCCUGAUGGUGUCAGGGGUUCCCUUUUUGUUCCGACUCCGAGUGAAGUUUCAUUCCCCAGUCCUUGGGCUUCCACAGGGAUCUUCUGAAGCUGGUAUGGGUACACGUUGACCUUUGGAAGCAGUUAAAUAUGCAUGACAUUCUGACCCAUGCAGAGGGACUCUGAUCACGUUCUAAUGGCUGAUAAACUAGUUCAGUUGGUGUUGAAUUUCAUUAUGUUGUAACAGCGUGUACCCCUGUUUGCUUCUUGAGAUGGGUUGGUUAGGAAGUGAUCUUCAUAGUGUUUUACGCACGUCUUCCAUUCUAGGAGUACUAUAGUAUAAAUUGACAAAUUGGUGGUGAGAAUUACAGUAUUUGGUUCCUACAACAUUCCUGGUGCAUAAUGGCAUUAUCAUAGUUCUUCCGCCA